Molecule: ribosomal RNA, 468 nt
Filed under: uncultured bacterium
Lineage: Bacteria
Description: partial 16S ribosomal RNA
Rfam family: Bacterial small subunit ribosomal RNA
Source: RNAcentral
GACGAACGCUGGCGGCGUGCUUAACACAUGCAAGUCGAACGGAAAGGCCCUGCUUUUGUGGGGUGCUCGAGUGGCGAACGGGUGAGUAACACGUGAGUAACCUGCCCUUGACUUCGGGAUAACUUCAGGGAACUGGGGCUAAUACCGGAUAGGAGCUCCUGCUGCAUGGUGGGGGUUGGAACGUUUCGGCGGUUAGGGAUGGACUCGCGGCUUAUCAGCUUGUUGGUGGGGUAGUGGCUUACCAAGGGUUUGACGGGUAGCCGGCCUGAGAGGGUGACCGGCCACAUUGGGACUGAGAGACGGCCCAGACUCCUACGGGGGGCAGCAGUGGGGAGUAUUGCACAAUGGGCGGAAGCCUGAUGCAGCAACGCCGCGUGCGGGAUGACGGCCUUCGGGGUGUAAACCGCUUUCGCCUGUGACGAAGCGUGAGUGACGUCAAUGGGUAAAGAAGCACCGGCUAACUACGUG